UAGUUGUGCUGUGGUCAUGUUAGG
Molecule: non-coding RNA, 24 nt
Filed under: Mus musculus (house mouse)
Lineage: Eukaryota; Metazoa; Chordata; Mammalia; Rodentia; Muridae
Source: RNAcentral